This 2105-nucleotide small RNA is filed under the name Pan troglodytes (chimpanzee). RNAcentral's name for it is "retained intron". The record is from RNAcentral. Lineage: Eukaryota; Metazoa; Chordata; Mammalia; Primates; Hominidae.
AUUCCUCGCUCCAAGGGGCAGACAGGACAGGCUGAAAAUAGCAACUGGUUCCAAAAAGAUAAAGGGGAUGACUCCAGCAGAGCACCUCACUCCUUUGAAGAGCACAGAGGAAGAUGUCAGCCCAGUCCCUUCCUGCAGCAACACCCCCCACGCAGAAGCCCCCUCGGAUCAUCCGCCCCCGCCCUCCUUCUCGUUCCAGGGCUGCGCAGUCCCCAGGGCCUCCCCACAAUGGCUCCUCUCCACAAGAACUACCCCGAAACUCCAAUGAUGCACCAACCCCAAUGUGCACCCCCAUCUUCUGGGAGCCCCCAGCUGCAUCCCUCAAGCCCCCUGCUCUUUUGCCCCCCUCAGCUUCUAGAGCCAGCCUCGACUCCCAGACUUCCCCAGACUCACCUUCCAGCACCCCCACACCUAGUCCAGUGUCCCGGCGCUCCGCCUCCCCAGAACCUGCUCCCCGGUCUCCAGUCCCCCCACCCAAGCCGUCUGGGUCACCCUGCACGCCUCUACUCCCCAUGGUUGGGGUCCUGGCUCAGAAUGGCUCUGCCUCAGCUCCUGGCACUGUGCGGAGGCUGGCUGGCAGGUUUGAAGGGGGUGCUGAAGGCCGGGCUCAGGAUGCAGAUGCCCCGGAGCCAGGUCUCCAAGCGAGAGCAGAUGUGAAUGGGGAGAGAGAAGCUCCCCUCACCGGGAGUGGGUCCCAGGAGAACGGUGCUCCAGGUGAGUGUGGCGGGUGGGGGGCGCUGGGUGACCUCAAUCCACCCAUCUUCUCCGUUUUCAGUGCUGACAACUUUCAGGGGCUACCUUUUCAAAAAUGGAUUUGAUGUUUGGGAUAUCUGGUUUCUGUAUGUCGGGAUUUGAAGGGAGUCAGGGUGGAGGAGAUCUAUAGAUGCCUGGACCUUGAUAUUGCAGUUGCUGGGCAGGUUAAAGAUGGAGAUGGUCUGGGCGGGGGUGGAGCUGGGCCCCAAGGGCUUUCUCCUUAGGCUACCUGUCUCCCACAGAUGCUGGCCUGGCCUGCCCUCCCUGCUGCCCCUGUGUCUGCCAUACCACCCGGCCUGGCCUGGAGCUCAGAUGGGUGCCUGUGGGGGGCUAUGAGGAGGUCCCCAGGGUCCCCCGUCGGGCCUCCCCGCUGCGGACCUCUCGCUCCCGCCCCAACCCUCCAAGCAUCGGUCACCCUGCCGUUGUCCUCACAUCCUACCGCUCCACUGCUGAGCGCAAACUCCUGCCACCCCUCAAGCCUCCCAAACCAACUCGUGUCAGGCAGGAUGCCACCAUUUUCGGGGACCCCCCACAGCCAGAUCUUGAUCUGCUUUCUGAAGAUGGAAUCCAAACAGGUGCAGGGCCUGGGGGAGUGGACCUCUGGGCUGUGAGGGGACAGGAGAGAGGCAGGGGGGGACUAAAGCCCAGCAAACUACAAUCCCCAACAGGCACUGGGCUCUUUGCUUUCCUACCAGCUGCUGCUCUGGUGCUGAAGAGAGUUGCAGUUUUUAUAGUAACCAUCCCUGCUGGGGCUGGAGUCGGGAGUCCUGGCUGGGGAUCCUGGAGUUUUUUUUUCUCUUCACUCUGGCUUCUCUCUCCAGGGCACAGUCCUGAUGAAGCUCCUCAGAAUACUCCUCCAGCAACUGCGGAGGGGAGGUACUGAACACCCCCACCCCUACUCCCUGGUGCUCUCCCCACCAUGCUUCUACCUGAGGGCAGACUAACCUUCAGCUCCAGCUAAAUCCCACCUCCACAAAGGUGAGGGGACAAGGGCCAGGGCUCUAGAGAUAAGCAGCCCUUGUUUCGAAUCCCAGCUCUGGCCCUUAUCAAUUCUGUGAUCUUAUAGAAGGCCGGGCACGGUGGCUUACAUCUGUAAUCCCAGCACUCUGGGAGGCUGUGGCAGAAGGAUCACCUGAAGUCAGGAGUUCAAGAUCAGCCUGGCUAACGUGGUGAAACCCUGUCUCUACUAAAAAUACAAAAAUUAGCCGGGCAGGGUGAUGGGUGCCUGUAAUCCCAGCUACUCGGGAGGCUGAGGCAGGAGAAUGGCUUGGACCCGGGGAGAUGGAGGUUGCAGGGAGACAAGAGCGUGCCACUGCACUCCAGCCUGUUCGACAAGAGAGAAACUCCAUCUC